GGUGUUGUGGCUCAGUGGUAGAGCGCUUGCCUCGCAUGUGUGAAGCACUGGGUUUGAUCCUCAGCACCA
This 69-nucleotide transfer RNA is filed under the name Ictidomys tridecemlineatus (thirteen-lined ground squirrel). Its description in RNAcentral is "Spermophilus tridecemlineatus (thirteen-lined ground squirrel) tRNA". It matches the Rfam family "tRNA". From Rfam's summary of the family: Transfer RNA (tRNA) molecules are approximately 80 nucleotides in length. Their secondary structure includes four short double-helical elements and three loops (D, anti-codon, and T loops). Further hydrogen bonds mediate the characteristic L-shaped molecular structure. tRNAs have two regions of fundamental functional importance: the anti-codon, which is responsible for specific mRNA codon recognition, and the 3' end, to which the tRNAs corresponding amino acid is attached (by aminoacyl-tRNA synthetases). tRNAs cope with the degeneracy of the genetic code in two manners: having more than one tRNA (with a specific anti-codon) for a particular amino acid; and 'wobble' base-pairing, i.e. permitting non-standard base-pairing at the 3rd anti-codon position. Lineage: Eukaryota; Metazoa; Chordata; Mammalia; Rodentia; Sciuridae. The record is from Rfam by way of RNAcentral. RNAcentral also lists the same sequence under 1 other name.